UUCUUUCAGCACUAACAUUCUUGGUUUCUUUUUCUCUGAAACUUCUAUUUCUGUGAAGCCCUUCCCAGACCUCAUUUUGGCUCCAGAGAUGCUUGGCGAGGCACGUGAUGUUGUCAAACAUGAACAGAUGGCAUCUGCUCACAGGGAACAGGUCGGCGGUGGGGGCUGCCUUCUCUCCUCUCUCCAAAUGCCAAGAGCCACGUGGCACUGAGUUCAUGCCUCUCCCCUAAGACUGGCCUUUGCUGGGCCACGUGCAUCUCACACGGCACGGAAAGUGGUAACCCACUGGGAUCAGAGAGACACACUUUCCCCUGCUGGUUUUGAAGAAGCAAGCUGGCGUGCUGUGAGAGGGCCAUGUGGUAAGAAACAGCCUCCAGCCAAAAGAGCAAGAAACUGGGAUGCUCAGUCCAACCACUUGCAAGGAACUGAUGGCUGCCAACAACCAUAUGGGCCUGGAAGUGGAUCCUUCCCCACUCGAGCCUCAGAUGAGAAGCCAGCCCUGACCGGAACCUUGAUUGCAGCCUUGCAGAGGACCCAGUCAACCCAGCCGGAAUCCCAACCCCCUGAAACUGAGAUGAUAAAUGUGUGCUGUUUUAAACCACUAA
Long non-coding RNA from Balaenoptera ricei (Rice's whale), 605 nucleotides. RefSeq lists it as uncharacterized. Lineage: Eukaryota; Metazoa; Chordata; Mammalia; Artiodactyla; Balaenopteridae. The transcript is spliced from 2 exons. The record is from RefSeq and is a predicted model, not a curated record.